Long non-coding RNA from Sarcophilus harrisii (Tasmanian devil), 3006 nucleotides. The record is from Ensembl. Lineage: Eukaryota; Metazoa; Chordata; Mammalia; Dasyuromorphia; Dasyuridae.
AAAUGAUUGAGACUGUUUUGCCUAGUUUUAUACUAUGUUGUUACAACUAUAUUUAAAGGAAACAUAGUGAGAGGAGCUUGGCCUCAAAGUCACGAUGACCUGGGUUUAAUACCUGUCUCUUAAAUAUAUAUACACCGCCUCUUGGAUCCUGGGAGAAUUCCUUAGUCUCUCAGUGCCCUGGGCAGCUCUCUGAAAUAAUAAAUUGCAAAAAAAAUGGCAUUCUUCAUUGGGACAGGGAGGGAGUUUCUCAUUCAGAGUGUCCUACUUAUAAUGAAAUCAUAAGAUUGGGGUAUAAAAAAAAAAAAAAUAUCAUCAUACAAUUGCAUAUCAGCCUACUAUAAAAUUCCUUAUAACUCCCAUGUAAAGACAGGGAAUUGAAAAGCUUUUGAGGACUUUUUAAAAAUUACUUGCUUUAAAUGUAUGUUUGUUCCUUUUUAAAAAGUUGAAUUGUAUCCUACCUGACUGCCUAAUGCUAAACACAGCUAGUCUCUAGAAUCUACACAUGUUUUCUGAUUUACAAAUGUCAGUUUGUUUGGUCAUUAUUACAACUAGUCAUUGUUUUUAGAAAUAAUUUUUAAUUCUGGGGUAUGGAAGUAGAGGGCUGUGUUGUAGAAACAUUAGGACUUAUUCCACAGCCUAAAUUUCUAACCUCCCCAGGGGAAUUUUGCUAUUUAACUACAUUUUAAAAGAAAAUGGCAGUUACACAUUCAAAUUUUAACAUUCAGAAUUUUGUUUUGUUUUUUGUAAACACAUAAUUCUUGAGUAAGUUGAAAUUCCAACUUUAUGUAUUCAUAAUUUUUGAAAAUAUGAAUAGAUAUGUAUGCAGACACAUUGCUACCUACAUCUUAUUUAUCCCUUAUUCUACCCAUUUAUGAAGGAACAAAAAUUUUUUUGUGUUGGAUAUUAAUGGUUUGUUUGGCAUAAUGUUUUUUGCUUUACUCAUAUAAAGGAAAAGAAAACUACUUUCAUAUUUCAUAAUCUUAAGUCUUACUCCAAUUUUCAAACAUCUUCAAGAAGAAACCUAGAUGUAGGCAUUCUAAGUGAAACUGUAAAAUUUUGAAUUAUGGAAACCAUUUACAGAAUUAUUUAAAUGUUUUUGCUUUAAACAUAUUGUCAAACCAAUAAGUCCUAGUAUCGUAGUGUGGAAUGUAAAAAGGCAGUGCUUUAUUCUUUUUAAAGCAGUUGUAGUUCUGGUUGUGAUUAAUUAAUUGCUGUCUGAAUCCUAAAAGAUAGAAAUGUGGUAUCUGCUCGUUAAUUAUGUGCUUGUUUUACGAUAUGAGGCUGCAUUAAAACAGAUAUUGAAGAUUUUUUUCUUGCCUCUUGCUCCCAGUACACUGAGAACUUGAUACAUACAUUCUUAAAAUAGCAAUUGGUGAUAUAUAAUAACUUGUGCAUGUAAAUAACUUUUGUAGUUUCAACAUAAGUAGUAUUAGAAUCCUAUUUUCCCCAGAGGAAAAGCUAUUGGAAAAAAAUCAUACUCAGCAAAUUUAAAUAGUUCUAUGAAUAUACAUACCACUAUGUUCUAUACAUUUCAACAUUUUGGGGGGAAAAGUCUUAGCAUCAAAAUCCCAAUUAUUUUUAGGUACUGUAUUGCUUUGGAAUUUCACCAUUUAAGUGUUGCUUAAAUACAACACUUUGCAUUUAAAUGCUUGAUGUUUGACUUUUAAAAAAAACUAAAAAUUAUAUUCCCAUCACAUCCAUGCUUAAGUAGUCAUUGAAUCUUAGCCUCUUUUGUUUAUUUAAAUAUACAUAUAUGAUAUAUACAUAUACACAAAUAUAAAUCAGUAGUUGAAUUCAUUGAGCAUUUAUUAAGCACUUCCUCUAUGCCAAACACUGUGCUAAGCCCUAGGGAUGUCAUAAAUUUAAGUUUUAUUGGAUGACAAAAUAAGAAACUAAUGUGAAAAAUGUAAAAACCUUUGAAAUUAUCUAAAUUUUGCUAUAGGAGUCUUAACACCAUGUCUUCUGUUCCCAUUUCACUUACAAGUAGAGCUCUACCUCAACACUCAACAUUAAAAUGGGAGAAACAAAAUGCACUUUUCUUGUUCAGGACAGCAUAACUCCAACUUUUUAAGAAAUCUAGUAUCUUAUGUUCAUCAGAAAAUAAAAUGGGUCAAGAUGAUUUUAGGUAAUUUAUUUAAAACUCCUUUCCAAGGGAUUAUCAAAUAUUUUUAUUUUUGAUAUUUUAAACUAUUUUGUAGCUUGAAAAUGAGUGUUUCCAUAGAAAGAUCAGAAAAGUUUAAAAAAAAAAAGUCAAAAAAACUUUCUUAAAAAAAAAAAUCCAAACCCCGACUUAGCAGAAACUUAUUUUAAUUUCUAAAAAUAAAAUUUUAAAGAUUUGAACCUCUUCUUUAGAAUAAAUAGCAAUGGAAUAAUGUGAACUAUUCAUAUGACAGUUUCAUAUUUCAUAAUACUGUUUCAUAUGAUAAUAAAAGUAAAUAUUUGAGGGACCUGAGUUUUUGAACAUUAUAUCCAGAGGAAUGCUAAAGAAGACUUUUGUGAGCAAGUUCUAAUGAGAAAUAAACAGACAAAAUUUUUACAUUCUUGAGAAUUUUUUUUGCCCACUUCUCUUAGGAGAAGACAGUUCUCAAAAUCUAGCAAAACUUCAGAUAGCAUAGAUUGGCCUAUUAUUUUGGAGUAUUAGAAAUAUGGCUAUGCUUAUUCUCUGUUUAAACUGCAACUGAUAAUCAAAGAUAUGUUGCCACUAAACCAAAGUACCUAAAAGUGAAAUUAAGCCUUAAUCCUUAUGAGCUAUCUCCAUCCAUACCCCUCAUAUUUUAUUUAUCACUAUGAUUAAUUCAAUAUCAAAUAUUCAAAUGAAAUCACAAACUUUAAAAAAAUUAGUUAACAAAAUUCAUUUUCUAAUAACAUUCGUGCCCUAUACAUCAUCAAAAUAUUUGUUUCUAAAAUAAAACAAAAUACUUGAUUCUUUUUGUAACUAAGAAUUCACUUCUGACUUAACCUUUAUUUCACAAAUAUUUAGGAUCCUAUAAAUGCCUUCAAAAAUGC